CGGCAACAGCUCAAAUUUGAAAUCUGGCUCUUUCAGGGUCCGAGUUGUAAUCUGGAGAAGCGUUUUCCGCGUUGGACCGUGUACAAGUCUUCUGGAAUGGAGCGUCAUAGAGGGUGAGAAUCCCGUCUUUGACACGGACUACCAAUGCUUUGUGAUACGCUCUCGAA
This 167-nucleotide ribosomal RNA is filed under the name Hymenochaetaceae sp. RNAcentral describes it as "partial large subunit ribosomal RNA". It matches the Rfam family "Eukaryotic large subunit ribosomal RNA", at positions 99 to 261 of the family's 3401-position model. The record is from RNAcentral. Lineage: Eukaryota; Fungi; Basidiomycota; Agaricomycetes; Hymenochaetales; Hymenochaetaceae.